This 336-nucleotide unclassified non-coding RNA is filed under the name soil metagenome. RNAcentral describes it as "partial contains 5.8S ribosomal RNA, internal transcribed spacer 2, and large subunit ribosomal RNA". The stretch from base 1 to 120 matches the Rfam family "5.8S ribosomal RNA", at positions 35 to 154 of the family's 154-position model. The record is from RNAcentral.
GAUGAAGAACGCAGCGAAAUGCGAUAAGUAGUGUGAAUUGCAGAAUUCAGUGAAUCAUCGAAUCUUUGAACUCACAUUGCGCCCCUUGGUAUUCCAUGGGGCAUGCCUGUUCGAGCGUCAUUUGUACCUUCAAGCUUUGCUUGGUGUUGGGUGUUUGUCUCGCCUUUGCGUGUAGACUCGCCUUAAAAUAAUUGGCAGCCGGCGUAUUGAUUUCGGAGCGCAGUACAUCUCGCGCUUUGCACUCAUAACGACAGCGUCCAAAAGUACAUUUUACACUCUUGACCUCGGAUCAGGUAGGGAUACCCGCUGAACUUAAGCAUAUCAAUAAGCGGAGGA